CAAAGAGGGUCUAGGAGGCAACAUCUUAAAUCCAUCUGACAUCUUAACAGAGAAUCUUAUAGCUGUAAAUGAAUUAGUCACUACUGACAUUCUAUCUGGAAAUCUCCUUAUUCCAGCCCACAGAUAGAGAGAGACAGAAUGUGAGCAUGGGAAGGAAAGAGAGAGAGGGAGACAUAGAAUCCAAAGCAGGCUCCAGGCUCUGAGCUGUCAGCAUGGAGUCCAAUGCAGAGCUCCAACCCAGAAACACAAGAUCAUGACCUGAGCCGAACUCUGACGCUCAAUCGACUAAACCACCCAGGUACCCCUGAAAAAGUACUUUUUGAUAUUGACAGAAAGGUAUUGUAUUCUAAGUGUUGUUACUUGGUGACUUCACUGAAGAUAUUUCACUUUAGAACUGUGUCAUUUUGAGUUUUUUCUCAUAAUUCGGUAAUGGAUUUUCUGAAACAAAUAUUUUUUGUAUC
Molecule: long non-coding RNA, 461 nt
Organism: Acinonyx jubatus (cheetah)
Lineage: Eukaryota; Metazoa; Chordata; Mammalia; Carnivora; Felidae
Exons: 3
Source: RefSeq, a predicted model, not a curated record